GAUGAACGCUGGCGGCGUGCCUAAUACAUGCAAGUCGAGCGAGCAGAUGAGGAGCUUGCUCCUCUGACGUUAGCGGCGGACGGGUGAGUAACACGUGGAUAACCUACCUAUAAGACUGGGAUAACUUCGGGAAACCGGAGCUAAUACCGGAUAAUAUAUUGAACCGCAUGGUUCAAUAGUGAAAGACGGUUUUGCUGUCACUUAUAGAUGGAUCCGCGCCGCAUUAGCUAGUUGGUAAGGUAACGGCUUACCAAGGCAACGAUGCGUAGCCGACCUGAGAGGGUGAUAGGCCACACUGGAAAGGAGACAGGGGCCAGACCCCUAAGGGAGGCAGAAGUAGGGAAUCUUCCGAAAUGGGCGAAAGCAUGACGGAGAAACGCCGCGUGAGUGAUGAAGGUCUUCGGAUCGUAAAACUCUGUUAUUAGGGAAGAACAAAUGUGAAAGUAACUAUGCACGUCUUGACGGUACCUAAUCAGAAAGCCACGGAUAACUACGUG
RNAcentral lists this ribosomal RNA (497 nucleotides) under uncultured bacterium. Its description in RNAcentral is "partial 16S ribosomal RNA". It matches the Rfam family "Bacterial small subunit ribosomal RNA", at positions 28 to 507 of the family's 1533-position model. The record is from RNAcentral.